GACAGAGGGUGCAAACGUUGCUCGGAAUUACUGGGCGUAAAGCGCGUGUAGGCGGACCCACAAGUCGGACGUGAAAGCCCUGGGCUCAACCCAGGAACUGCAUCCGAAACUGUGGGCCUGGAGUAGUGGAGAGGGAUGCGGAAUUCCAGGUGUAGCGGUGAAAUGCGUAGAUAUCUGGAGGAACACCGGUGGCGAAGGCGGCAUCCUGGACCGGUAUUGACGCUGAGGCGCGAAAGCCAGGGGAGCAAACGGG
RNAcentral lists this ribosomal RNA (253 nucleotides) under uncultured bacterium. Its description in RNAcentral is "partial 16S ribosomal RNA". It matches the Rfam family "Bacterial small subunit ribosomal RNA", at positions 524 to 776 of the family's 1533-position model. The record is from RNAcentral.